AGGCCCCUCGCAAAGUCUCGCCCAAUUCCGAGUCCGGCGGACGAACUUCGCCCGCGCCCCCCACCAAGGCUAUAGCCCACCCGUUUUUUGGCCAUUUUUCCGCUGGGGGGUUUUGGCACCACGACCUUCGGGCACUUAUUUUUGGGCGUGGCUUUGCCCGCGGCUUAUUUUUGGUGCCCCGAGGCCCCUCGCAAAGUCUCGCUCCAUUCCGAGUCCGGCGGACGAACUUCGCCCGCGCCCCCCACCAAGGCUAUAGCCCACCCAUUUUUUGGCCAUUUUUCCGCUGGGGGGUUUUGGCACCACGACCUUCGGGCUCUUAUUUUUGGGCGCGGCUUUGCCCGCGGCUUAUUUUUGGCGCCACGAGGCCCCUCGCAAAGUCUCGCCCCAUUCCGAGUCUGGCGGACGAACUUCGCCCGCGCCCCCCACCAAGGCUGUAGCCCACCCAUUUUUUGGCCAUUUUUCCGCUGGGAGGUUUUGGCACCACGACCUUUGGGCGCUUAUUUUUGGGCGCGGCUGUGCCCGCGACUUCCCACGGGCACCCCGAGGCCCCGCGCAAAGUCUCGCCCCAUUCCGAGUCCGGCGGACGAACUUCGCCCGCGCCCCCCACCAAGGCUAUAGCCUACCCGUUUUUUGGCCAUUUUUCCGCUGGGGGGUUUUGGCACCACGACCUUCGGGCGCUUAUUUUUUGGCGCGGCUUUGCCCGUGGCUUAUUUUUGGUGCCCCGAGGCCCCUCGCAAAGUCUCGCCCCAUUCCGAGUCCGGCGGACGAACUUCGCCCGCGCCCCCCACCAAGGCUAUAGCCCACCCAUUUUUUGGCCAUUUUUCCGCUGGGGGGUUUUGGCACCACGACCUUCGGGCUCUUAUUUUUGGGCGCGGCUUUGCCCGCGGCUUAUUUUUGGCGCCACGAGGCCCCUCGCAAAGUCUCGCCCCAUUCCGAGUCUGGCGGACGAACUUCGCCCGCGCCCCCCACCAAGGCUAUAGCCCACCCAUUUUUUGGCCAUUUUUCCGCUGGGAGGUUUUGGCACCACGACUUUCGGGCGCUUAUUUUUGGGCGCGGCUGUGCCCGCGACUUCUCACGGGCACCCCGAGGCCCCUCGCAAAGUCUCGCCCCAUUCCGAGUCCGGCGGACGAACUUCGCCCGCGCCCCCCACCAAGGCUAUAGCCCACCCGUUUUUUGGCCAUUUUUCCGCUGGGGGGUUUUGGCACCACGACCUUCGGGCACUUAUUUUUGGGCGUGGCUUUGCCCGCGGCUUAUUUUUGGCGCCCCGAGGCCCCUCGCAAAGUCUCGCUCCAUUCCGAGUCCGGCGGACGAACUUCGCCCGCGCCCCCCACCAAGGCUAUAGCCCACCCAUUUUUCCGUGGGAGGGUUUAAGCACCACGACUUCGGGGCGAUUAUUUUUGGGCGUGGCUGUGCCCGCGACUUCCCGCGGGCACCCCGAGGCCCCUCGCAAAGUCUCGCCCAAUUCCGAGUCCGGCGGACGAACUUCGCCCGCGCCCCCCACCAAGGCUAUAGCCCACCCGUUUUUUGGCCAUUUUUCCGCUGGGGGGUUUUGGCACCACGACCUUCGGGCACUUAUUUUUGGGCGUGGCUUUGCCCGCGGCUUAUUUUUGGCGCCCCGAGGCCCCUCGCAAAGUCUCGCUCCAUUCCGAGUCCGGCGGACGAACUUCGCCCGCGCCCCCCACCAAGGCUAUAGCCCACCCGUUUUUUGGCCAUUUUUCCGCUGGGGGGUUUUGGCCCCACGACCUUCGGGCGCUUAUUUUUGGGCGCGGCUGUGCCCGCGACUUCCCGCGGGCACCCCGAGGCCCCUCGCAAAGUCUCGCCCAAUUCCGAGUCCGGCGGACGAACUUCGCCCGCGCCCCCCACCAAGGCUAUAGCCCACCCGUUUUUUGGCCAUUUUUCCGCUGGGGGGUUUUGGCACCACGACCUUCGGGCGCUUAUUCUUCGGCGCGGCUGUGCCCGCGACUUCCCGCGGGCACCCCGAGGCCCCUCGCAAAGUCUCGCCCCAUUCCGAGUCCGGCGGACGAACUUCGCCCGCGCCCCCCACCAAGGCUAUAGCCCACCCGUUUUUUGGCCAUUUUUACGCUGGGGGGUUUUGGCACCACGACCUUCGGGCGCUUAUUUU
RNAcentral lists this long non-coding RNA (2122 nucleotides) under Citrus x clementina. Its description in RNAcentral is "Citrus clementina (C. clementina) long non-coding RNA (CCLE_LNC005000)". The record is from RNAcentral. Lineage: Eukaryota; Viridiplantae; Streptophyta; Magnoliopsida; Sapindales; Rutaceae.